RNAcentral lists this ribosomal RNA (387 nucleotides) under uncultured Nitrospina sp. RNAcentral describes it as "bacterial SSU rRNA". It matches the Rfam family "Bacterial small subunit ribosomal RNA", at positions 29 to 410 of the family's 1533-position model. Lineage: Bacteria; Pseudomonadati; Nitrospinota; Nitrospinia; Nitrospinales; Nitrospinaceae. The record is from RNAcentral.
AACGAACGCUGGUGGCGUGCUUAACACAUGCAAGUCGAACGAGAAAGUUUCCUUCGGGAAAUUAGUAAAGUGGCGCAAGGGUGAGUAUCACGUGAAUAAUCUGCCCUCGAGAUCGGAUAACAUGGUGAAACUAUGCUAAUACCGGAUAAGACCACAUUUCAUAAGAAAUGCGGUAAAAGGAGUCCCAAUCUUCACUCGAGGAUGAGUUCGCGCAACAUUAGCUUGUUGGUGAGAUAAAAGCUCACCAAGGCUACGAUGUUUAGCCGGCCUGAGAGGGUGAACGGCCGACACUGGAACUGAGACACGGUCCAGACUCCUACGGGAGGCAGCAGUGGGAAUAUCGCGCAAUGGGCGAAAGCCUGACGCAGCAACGCCGUGUGAGCGAUG